GAGUUGGUAACACCGGGAGUCCAUGGUCAAGAACAUAAGCUAUCUUUUCGCAACUCAAGACAAUCUUUAAGUUGCGGAGCCAAUCUUUAUAGUUUGGUUCGGUCAACCUAUUGUUAUCUAGAAUUCAAACUAUCGGAUUAGAAGCCAUUGAUAUCUGUAGAGAGUAAAGAUUUUAAUUAGAAAUUUGUAUUUGACAUUAAUUUGUUUUAGAGACUUUUAAAACAAAAUUGGAUCAAAUCCUCCCAUUAUUUCUUGGAUCUCUGACACUCCCCUGGUAAAGAUACGGAAACCUGCGACUUAGGGUUUCGAGUGGGGUGCUGCGGUCCCACCAAUCUACAUGUCACCUUACCUAACAGUUAUUGGAGACACAUAGACGAUGAGUGUACAACUACUGUACAAUACUUCGUAAGCAUAUUGAGCUAACCUGGUCUCCAAGUCAUAAGGACCUCACCUAACAGUUAUUGGACCUGUUCCUUGGUUAAGUCAGACCCACCGUAUAUCCCGCGAAAAUAAAGCUGUGAUUGGGUCCUCACCUAACAGUUAUUGGAGCCCAACCCCAUCUUUAUCCCACAACAUCUCAUGUUAAUAGAGAGGUCCAAUCCUUCGAUGCAACUAGCCCUCUGUAUCCAGCCGAGCCUAAUCAACGCCGGAAAGAUCUUAGCAACUCUACUACGGUGGAAGACCAAUCGACUUAAUAUUGGGUAAUCAGAUCUUAGUGAUUCCAACUUUGAGCUUUCCAUUGGAGGUAAUCGAUCAAUUGGCCAGGUAAGCAGGUGGGAGGCUCCCCUUACUCAAAGAGUAAGUCCUAAUUAAGUAACCACCUUUGAGCUUGCCUAGACACCAAUUAGAUCAAUUAAUCAAAUAUGGCUAGCUCAAUGUAUCGUUCACUCUCGAUUGAUUUAGGAAGAUUUUAGGUCUCUUGGGAUUUACAUCUAAUGUAACCAUCUACCCCAUACCAUAUGUCAUUCGAUUUACAUCUUAUGUAAAUGUCACAUUGGUUCAGGUUUACAUCCUAUGUAAAUAUGAAAUCCUUUCAUAUAUUAUGUGAUUACAUCUUAUGUAAAUGACAUAAUUGUUUCAGUUUACAUCUUAUGUAAAUGUCCUAUUGUUUAAGGGUUUUAUUUACAUCUCAUGCAAAUAAAUUUUUGUUUAACUAAUAUAUACAUCUCAUGCAUACAUUAUUUUAAACAUAACCUUAUGAUUAUUUUAAAUAAGUAUGAACAUU
RNAcentral lists this long non-coding RNA (1225 nucleotides) under Phoenix dactylifera (date palm). RNAcentral describes it as "long non-coding RNA (PDAC_LNC014165)". The record is from RNAcentral. Lineage: Eukaryota; Viridiplantae; Streptophyta; Magnoliopsida; Arecales; Arecaceae.